GACGAACGCUGGCGGCGUGCUUAACACAUGCAAGUCGAACGGUGAAGCGCCUUCCUUUUUGCUGGGUGUGGAGGAGUGGCGAACGGGUGAGCAACACGUGAGUAACCUGCCCCCUCCGUCUGGACAACCGCAUGAAAGUGUGGCUAACACGGGAUAUUCUGGGUCUGUCGCUUGAUGGGUCUGGGAAAGAUAUUGUUUCGGUGGGGGAUGGGCUCGCGGCCUAUCAGCUUGUUGGUGGGGUGAUGGCCUAACAAGGCGGUGACGAGUAGCCGGCCUGAGAGGGUCGGCCGUCCUACAGGGAAUGAGAGACCGACCCUCCUACUGCAGGCAGCAGCAGGGAAGAGUCUUGCACGAUGGGAGCGAGCGUGAUGCAGCGCCGCCGCGUGAGAGAUGGCGGCCUUCGGGUUGUACUCCUCUUUUGCCGGUGAAGCAGGCCUGCCUCAUUUAUGGGUGUCUUGACGGUAGCUGGUCAAGAAGCGCCGGCUAACUACGUG
Molecule: ribosomal RNA, 494 nt
Filed under: uncultured bacterium
Lineage: Bacteria
Description: partial 16S ribosomal RNA
Rfam family: Bacterial small subunit ribosomal RNA
Source: RNAcentral